GCCCAGUCGUAAACAAUCUAUUUACACCAACCAGCGCCAGGGAAUUACGAGCUAUGCUUAAAACCCAAAGGACUUGACGGUUUCCCACCCCCCUAGAGGAGCCUGUUCUAUAAUCGAUGAUCCCCGCUAUACCUAACCACCCCUCGCCAUCAGUCUGUAUACCUCCGUCGAAAGCUUACCAUAUGAAUGCUUCAGUAAGCCCGAUGAUCCCCAUCAACACGUCAGGUCAAGGUGCAGCUUAAUUAGUGGGAAGUGAUGGGCUACAAUUUCUAAGCUAGAACAAACGAAAGACUAGGUGAAACCCUGGUCAUGAAGGCGGAUUUAGUAGUAAAAAGAAAAUAGAGUGUUCUUUUUAACAUGGCUCUGGGACCGGUNNNNNNNNNNNNNNNNNNNNUUCAAUAUUUCGAACUAGUCCCUAACCUUUUACCACACAUCUUAGAAGAUUCAAGUCGUAACAUGGUAAGUGUACUGGAAAGUGCACUUGGUACACAAAAUGUAGCUUAA
RNAcentral lists this ribosomal RNA (504 nucleotides) under Nidirana chapaensis (glandular-sided frog). RNAcentral's name for it is "partial 12S ribosomal RNA". It matches the Rfam family "Bacterial small subunit ribosomal RNA", at positions 794 to 1526 of the family's 1533-position model. Lineage: Eukaryota; Metazoa; Chordata; Amphibia; Anura; Ranidae. The record is from RNAcentral.